Molecule: long non-coding RNA, 1810 nt
Organism: Camelus dromedarius (Arabian camel)
Lineage: Eukaryota; Metazoa; Chordata; Mammalia; Artiodactyla; Camelidae
Exons: 5
Source: RefSeq, a predicted model, not a curated record
AGAGAGAGAGAGAGAGAGAGACAGCUCUGAACAAACUCCUCAUUUUGGGAGCAAAGGAGUUUCCACUGAUGUUUAUUCCACUUUGAGAUGGGUUUUCUGUUAUUUGCAGUUAGGACUCCCAGCUGAUUGUGGUAGUUGUUUGGUUUUUUUUAAUGUUAUUUAAUUUAUUUAUUUGAUAUUUUGGGGGGGGAGGUAUUUAGGUUUAUUUAUUUAUUUUUAGAGGCGGUACUGGGGAUUGAACCCAGGACCUUAUGCAUGCUAAGCACGCUGUCUACCACUUGAGCUAUACCCUCCCCCCCUUGAUUGUGGUAGUUUAAAACUAUGUCCUUUGUUACUCCUCCCUUCAACAGGUGGCAUUUAAGUCCCCUUUCCUUGAGUGUGUGCUGGAUUAGUGACGUCCUUCUAGAAAAUAGAUUCAAGUGUGUGAUUCUAAGACAAGGUCAGAAAAGGCAUUGAUUUCCUCCUUGUUCUCCCCCACCCUCUCUCCUACUGCUCCAUCUCUGUCUCUGUCUCUGUCUCUCUUUCUCCGUUGGGUGGAUCACUUGCUCCAGGGAAGCCAGCUGCCAUGUCAGGAGGACACUCAAGCAGCCUAUGGAGGGCCCACAUGGUGAGGGACAGAGGCCUCCAGCCAACAGCCCCUGAGAAGUUGAAGCCUUUUCCCAACAAAAACAUGAAAGACUUGGAGGGCUGCAGCAGAAGCAGACGCCAUGACCUGUUGACGGCUGGGUGUGAGCUCAAAUGUCACUAAAGACCGCUAGCUCCUUGGGAGCAAGUCUCCAUUCAAACAAACCAGACAGAAACCUCUGCAUUGAGGAGAUGCUCCCCCACCGCCAGCGUUGACUGGAGUGAAGGCUACAGCGCUUAGAAGCGGCACCCUGAAUCAGCCAGCUGGGCUUCAUCCAGGGGAGCAGACAACAGAAUUUCUGAGAGGAAGCAGGGGAGCAAAUGGUGCUACAGCGUCAGGAUCGUCGCAGACCCCAGGUGCUGCAUUUUUUAAGGAGACCCCAGCACUGCCCCUGCCUGCCUCUCCACAGUUAUUAUUCUGGAGCUUGAGAGUAGACUUUCUACCUUAACUCCCAGAAGAUCUGCCGUCCCUGACCUUGGCCAUCACCUCAGGUCACAGGAGGAAGACUCUGAAAACCAGGAGGAGCUCUCACUGGGAACCUAAAUGGCAGACACGUUGACUUUGGACUUCCCAGCCUCCAGAACCACGAGAGAGGAACUUGUGGUUUAAGCCUCCCAGUCUGCCGUGCUUUGCUAUGGCAGCCCAAGCUGAUUAAAACAGUCACCUUCUGGCAGUCUUGGAGCAGGGGCUUUUCUGGCAGGAUUUACUUCCCCAGCAUUCUGGCCUGCCUAGCAAGUGGACGCAGCAGGCUUCUCCAGGCUUGGAGAAGAUUCUCAGUCAAAGACGCGCCACUACCAGCAGUUGGAAGUCCACCCGUGAACAAUGAAGGUAAAGCCAGAGGCACAUGGGUGAGAAUUACCAGCAUCUUCCAGGAGGAUGGAGGGAUGUGGAAGUCACGCUAUUUCAGGGAGGAUGUGGUGCUUCAGUUGAGCCUUAGAGACAUAGAAUGUCUACAGGUACAGGCAGGAAAAAGCCAUCCCAAUCACGGGAAUAGCUGGAGCACACACCGAGAAAAGGCGAAUUUCAGGAUGCUUUAGAUAACGAAUACAAUUGGUAUCGCUCUGUCUUAUUUGCUUUUCCCCCUUGACAUUAUUUCAUUCUUAUUUUUAUUGCUGCCUACUACUUCAUUGUGUUAGCUCUUUGCUUACUCAAUCCCCUAUAUUUAAAUUGUUUUUAAACUUUACG